This 429-nucleotide ribosomal RNA is filed under the name Chloroflexota bacterium. RNAcentral's name for it is "Chloroflexi bacterium partial 16S ribosomal RNA". It matches the Rfam family "Bacterial small subunit ribosomal RNA", at positions 355 to 776 of the family's 1533-position model. The record is from RNAcentral. Lineage: Bacteria; Bacillati; Chloroflexota.
UGGGGAAUAUUGCACAAUGGGCGCAAGCCUGAUGCAGCCAUGCCGCGUGUAUGAAGAAGGCCUUCGGGUUGUAAAGUACUUUCAGCGGGGAGGAAGGGAGUAAAGUUAAUACCUUUGCUCAUUGACGUUACCCGCAGAAGAAGCACCGGCUAACUCCGUGCCAGCAGCCGCGGUAAUACGGAGGGUGCAAGCGUUAAUCGGAAUUACUGGGCGUAAAGCGCACGCAGGCGGUUGAUUGAGUCAGAUGUGAAAUCCCCGGGCUUAACCCGGGAAUUGCAUCUGAUACUGGUCAGCUAGAGUCUUGGAGAGGGGGGUAGAAUUCCAUGUGUAGCGGUGAAAUGCGUAGAGAUGUGGAGGAAUACCGGUGGCGAAGGCGGCCCCCUGUACAAAGACUGACGCUCAGGUGCGAAAGCGUGGGGAGCAAACAGG